UGUCCAUUGCUUACCUACUUUGAUUUUUUCUUGCAGCCAAUGUUUCAGCAAACAUACGAAAUUUACUUGACUGCAAAGUUUUGAAGAAAUACAAAGCAGGGAAUCCCGCCAUGCUUGUUCCAAUAGGGAGGAAUGGCGGAGUCGGAGAAAUACCGAAUGGGAUGGUUUUAGGAGAUUUUGCCACGAAGAAGAUAAAAAGUCAAGAUUUGUUUAUUUCACGUCAAUGGAAGAGUAUGAAACAGAGUGCCCCCAAAUAACUUCGUUUGGUUUCACUGAGAAUGUCAGCUGGUCUGGUGCAUCUGAGUGAGUUAACUGCUAUGUAGUGUGUACGAUAUUUUAGUUCUUGCUCUGAGAGUAAAACUAGACUGUUAUGAACUCAUCAAACUGCUGUAAUAUUAUUAUUCCUAAAAAAAAUAAAAAUGUGAAAGAAACAAAAAACAUACGAGGAUGGAACUGAAUUAUUUUGUAGUCUGAGAAAUAUUGUGUGGUAGGAAAGGUGGUAAUGUAGUAUGUACAAAAUACGAAUUUUACAGGAAGUAAGAGACCUACAAAAACAUUAACAAAAGACAACAAACAACAACG
Paramuricea clavata is the source of this 582-nucleotide non-coding RNA. Lineage: Eukaryota; Metazoa; Cnidaria; Anthozoa; Malacalcyonacea; Plexauridae. The record is from the annotation of a GenBank genome assembly.